Long non-coding RNA from Fukomys damarensis (Damara mole-rat), 422 nucleotides. RefSeq lists it as uncharacterized. The record is from RefSeq and is a predicted model, not a curated record. The transcript is spliced from 3 exons. Lineage: Eukaryota; Metazoa; Chordata; Mammalia; Rodentia; Bathyergidae.
UCCAGUUUGGUACAUCUCUCUUUAUGACACACGGAUCUUUUCCUUGUUCCAACUUGGAGAUGACAUCUGGUUUGGAAACUGGAUACCCUAUGAAAUGAAAUCGUGAAGAAUCUGGAUUAAUUAUAUCAAAGGAAGAAGAGAAGGGGCUUGCAGGUAAGGAAUUUGCCUUAAAUCUCAGAGGAGACUCUGGACAUGGACUUUUCAGCAAUGCUGAAACUGUUCGGACUCUGGCAACUCUUGGAGGUUGAAAGCAGUCUUGUUUACCGGGGAACCAACCAGGAGACAUGCAUAUCCAUGAUGUUAAGUGAAGAUAAGCCUGAAGGUUUCAGUCGCAGCUCUGAACGCGGAAAUAACCCUGUAUCUUAGUCGUAGCCCCUCUUAGUUACCAACAGAGGAAGUAUAGUCAGCCCAAGGGUCCACCC